AUGGCACAGCCGAUGGAUCACAUCGCUGCAGCUGCUUCAAUUGUUCACAAGAGAGGCCAGCUCCCCUCAUUCCUUCUCCUCCAAUCUGUGGUUCCUGGGGCUGAAGCUGAAGACAAGGAAAUUUUACCGAGUACAGGCCAUGUUUGGUCUCUGUCCCAUUCCACUACAGGGUGCAUCCAUGGAGCAGCUCCGCUGCAGUGCAUGCAGGAGGACUUCCUGGUGCAUGAGGUGACCAAUCUGCCGGUGACAGAAGCACUGAUUGAGCGGGAGAAUGCAGCCCAUCUCAAGAAGUGGCGGGAAACACGGGGGGAGCUGCAAUAUUGGCCCUCACAGCGACUGCAUGGCUCCAGGACCACCCAUGAGGAGCGCAGGCGGCAACAGCCACCCCUGGGCCCCUCCUCCAGCCUCCUCAGCCUCCUCAGCCUCCCUGGCCUCAAGAGCCGAGGCUCCCGGGCAGCUGGAGGGCCCCCCUCUCCGCCGCCCCUCACCCUCCGGGCCAGCGCUGGGCCUGCCCCAGGGCCUGUGGUCACUGCUGAGGGACUGCAUCCAUCCCUUCCCUCACCCACUGGCAACAGCACCCCCUUGGGUUCCAGCAAGGAGACCCGGAAGCAGGAGAAGGAGCGGCAGAAACAGCAGAAAGAGCGAGAGAAGGAGAGGCAGAAGCAGGAGAAAGAGCGGGAGAAGCUGGAGAAGGAACGGGAGAAGCAGGAGAAGAAGGUUCAGGGCCGGAAGCCUUCAUUGCCUGGAAAGGCAGAUGGGACCCCAGGCCCCCACGAUGGCGACGACAGGCCCUCAGCAGCUGAGGCCCGGCAGGACGCUUACUUCUGACCUCUGCCCUGGGGCUGGACUGCAUGGCCCCCUCUUUCCCUCAGCCAAGAGCAGGCCUGGCCCGAGGUGCCACCCCUGGCCCCUGGGCAGGCUGUCCCUCACUGGGGAAAGAAGCUUGCUUCCCCGUCUCCUCACCAGCUGCUGAUCCCUAUACAAGCAGGGCAGAUGGGCAGCUGCAAAGGACUCUGGAGCUUCUCACCUCCCAUGAGACUCAGCUGGGGUCUCUGUCGCUCCUGCCCCAGUUCCCUCCAGGUCCCCUCCUAGGUGCUGUCCUGAUUGGCCCGUUGUCAUCCCAGGGGUGACUCCUGGUGAUGGGAGUCAGCAGUUUCAGAUUCUUACACUCCAUGGCUCCCCUUAGGAUGAGGUGGAGCUGGCUUCCUUUUCCCCAUCUUCAGCCCUGCCUGUCUUCCCCACUUCCUGGCCAGGGCUCUCCUUCUGGACCUCUCUGUGUUGUAAUUAUGUACAGAGGAUGGGGUUGGCCCUGGGUGGGGGAGUGGGGGUCUCGCUUUGUCUUCCGUCCUUUGGUUCUCCUUCCAUAAUGCUCCUGUACCCAGUUUAUUCAAGGGGACAUGCACUGGAAUAGGAAACGUCCCCCAUCUCCCUUCCUGCACCCUGCUGUGUGCUUCCUCCAAACCCACCUUACUGUGUUCUCAGGCCCUCCUGCUCUGUCUCAUCAGGACCCUACCAUUCACCUUGUUCCCUUCUACCCCUCCAGUUACUCCCUAUCUGGGUAAGGGUCUUCCCUUGAGCUCCAGGGGGUGGAACCCAAUGUUUACAUUCUCUUCUGUCUCUGCCCCGACCCCAUGCAGCGCUCUGAGCAAUCAGAAAAGAACCUGUUGUACCUGGAAAAAAAAAA
Molecule: RNA transcript, 1684 nt
Organism: Sapajus apella (tufted capuchin)
Lineage: Eukaryota; Metazoa; Chordata; Mammalia; Primates; Cebidae
Gene name: TBC1 domain family member 10B pseudogene
Exons: 2
Source: RefSeq, a predicted model, not a curated record